This is a long non-coding RNA of Cydia pomonella (codling moth), 4510 nucleotides long. RefSeq lists it as uncharacterized. The transcript is spliced from 2 exons. The record is from RefSeq and is a predicted model, not a curated record. NCBI's taxonomy places the organism in Eukaryota, Metazoa, Arthropoda, Insecta, Lepidoptera, Tortricidae.
GGCCAGAAGGCGAGCUGAAGAUAGAAAGGCAUGGCGCGAGAUUGUGAAGGUCCUUUGCACCUCUGGGGUGUUUUAGGACAACAACAACAUUUUAUAAAACGGAAAUUUCAAACAUAUACAUGAGAAGUUCCCAAAAUUUGUUUCUAAGCGACACUUGACAUUCCAUUAACCUGAGAUUAACCGGUUAAACCGUUAACCCAGUGUCAAAUUAUACAGGUGAUGAUGAUGAUGAUGUAAUCCUGUUAUCCCUCAUUAGGGACAUAGGGUUCGCAGACAAUUUUUCCAUUUGGUGCGAUCCUGGGCGGCUACUUCCAGCUCUUCCCAGCCGAGUCCAGUUGGGCCUGGCCUCCUUCUCAACUGAUGGCCUCCAUGUGGUACGAGGCCGCCCUGACCGUCUACUGCUAGUCGAUUGCCAGCGGAGACACUGCUUGGACAAGUGGUUGUCAGGUACAUUAAAUAGUAAAUUAUACAGGUACCCAUGGAAAAUCCAGAUUUAACCGGUUAACCUCGGGUUUUUUUCGCAAUUCUGAAAAUGUUUCAAUGGCACAUCAGUAUUCUUCUUGUUAUAAUUUCAAACUAUUGUCAAUACUAUUCUUAGAUCAGAUAUGUUUUAAAUUUAAGAUGACUCACACUGGAACGGUCCCGGUCUGGGCCGUGGGCAAGUGUCGGAAGCCUCGACCUGGACCCUGGCCGUUCUAGCGUGAGUAUUUCUUUCCAAUUAAGUACUGUCUGGUUAUUAUUUGACUAAAAUUUCCUUCGAGCAACACCGGCUUCCGACACAUCGCAAAGGAGGAACCCAAGCCAUAUCUUACCGUACAAAUUGUUCUUCCAUUUUUAACGGGGCAAAACGUGCACACAGUCGCACUUCUCCCUUACUACAUACAAAAUCCAAUCUGUAAUGACGACAGAAAUACAUAGAAAAUGACACGUGUCAAAGACAAAUGUUGCACACCUCGAUCUCUAUUGUGUACGGACGAGUCACAACACGCACCGCGUUAUGCUUCGGCAGAGGGGAAAUAGUGCGAAUGCCGACUCCUAAGCCAAUUUCUGAGCGAGUUAAGAUACUGAUUAAAACAUUAUCUGGCUCAAACGCUAGUGGAUGGAAAGAAUACAAUUGCAAACUCAGAGUAGAGACAUAAGAUAAGAAAGUUGUCCUGCAGAGAAAUUGUUGGCGCAGGUUCUUCAAGUUUAAUAUCGCCACUUGUGCUUCAAGUUUUAUAUCUUUCUGAUCUUUACAGGGAAAAGGAAAUAAAUUUAUUGACGGUAAGAUUAAAUCUUAUUGGGAAAUAAGUUAUUUAAUAAAAGCUUAAGAUUUAGUUGUAUGGCUAGAGCCUAGACCGAAAGCCAAAGCACAUCCAUCCAAACCAAACCACCUAUCACCAGGAUCAAAGCAACUAUUCUGCAAUUCAGACAUGCAUUUAUUUGACGACCGGUCUGGCCUUGUGGGUAGUGACCCUGCCUAUGAAGCCAAUGGUCCCGGGUUCAAAUCCUGGUGAGGGCAUUUAUUCGUGUGAUGAGCAUGGAUAUUUGUUCCUGAGUCAUGGGUGUUUUCUAUGUAUUUAAGUAUUUAUAAAUAUUUAUAUAUUAUAUAUAUCGUUGUCUAAGUACCCUCAACACAAGCCUUAUUGAGCUUCCUGUGGGACUUAGUCAAUUUGUGUAAUAAUGUCCUAUAAUAUUUAUUUAUUAUUAUUUAUUAUUUUUAUUUAUUUUUAUUUGCGAGACAAGUUUGCUAAACUUAAGGCCUUGAAACAUGGAAAGGCCAGAGAUAUAUUGCGUUCUUUUUUUUACACACCACGGAGUGAGAACCGCUGCAUCUCACGUAAUAUAUUGCGAUGUAUUUAUAAACUUAUUUAGCGUUUUGCCGCGACUUUGUCUGCGUAAACUGAUAUAUUUCCUGUUAAAAAUUAUCCUAUGACUCCAACUAUCUCCAUAAUCUUUUUGGUUCAAGUCUAAAGAGAUAACAGACAGACAGGGUUACUUUCUCAUAUUUAUUAUACAGACUGUACUACGAGUAAGUAUAAUAUUUUUAAGUGAUCGGUGUUUAAUAUUGCAACACUGUUAAUAAACUGGCCUUGCAAAUAAUUUAGUAAGGUACAUUCAGUGGUAGAAAUUGAUAUGCGGGCGGGGUGGUCAAAUGAUCUUAAUACAACCUUACCAUCGCGAACAUAAGAGCGCGUGCAGGUAAUUGUGAAUACCUCGCCCGGUCAGGUACCUCUGCCGCUGAUUGUACGAAGAUUGAAUUUGUUGCAUUGUGUAAUUCUAUUAUUUCGCAAUUUCUCAACUAUAAUAUUUAUCUUUAUAGUUAUUGUUGGGAGUUUUAUUGAUUGUUAACUUAGUUUUAUAAGCAUCGUAUUAUUUCUGUGUUGUCAUUCCACAUUUAUCAUUUACAUAAAGCAGUCAGUUGAUUUUUACUUCAUUGCGCGUUUUCCAAAAGGCCCCGGCGGCGCUCAGUCGCGGGGGCCUUUUGCAUGUUUUCGGAUUUGGCGCGAAACAGCGUCGGGCGCCGCCACCACCACAGGGAGCGGCAGAUCGCCUCUCCUAGCCCUGUCCCGAGCACUGCUCCCACACGUCCACGUGACGACACCAACUCGCUGGUCAUCUUUAUCGAGCACCACUUGCCCCAGCCCGAACAGGUAGCGGUGGCAUGUGGCGUUGUUGCUGAAGUGUUGCAGCGGGUCGCAGAAGUGGACGCAGGGGGCCAGUAAUUGUCAGAGUUGUCCACCAAUGGGAGUAUUUUGUCACACAACGAGUUGCUCGCGUGCAUGUUGUCUAGCUUGGAUAGGUUUCGGUUCUACGUUGAGACUUUUUUAAAACAGAAGAACUGCAUGAAAGUACCACAUAUUAAAUCAUACAACUCAAAAAAUUGUCGCUGAAAGCUUUUUUUUAGAGCUUCUUCGAGACCUAAAAAGGAUUGCGUGAUAAGGAGCUUCGUAUACAAAUAAACAAUCAGUAUUUCACUUCCAUAAAAACUUAACAUUCUGAACAGGUUAAAAGUUUGUUAUUAAACAGCUAACAAAUAUGAAAUUUAACACCACAGUUACGUAACACUAACACCUACAGGUGGUCACUAAAUCGUAAUUUGUAGUGACUAUCGAACUGAACUGUUAACUAUAACUAUAACUGUCACACUAAAGCUUAUACCUAAUUAAUUAAGGAUUAUUAUUUGACGUAUGUGGCAAUACACCUGGCAGCUGUUAUAACCUCUCGGUUGGAUCCCGGCCGCCGCGCAGACCGUAGCCGUCGGUGUAAUAGAGCUGUGCCGCACGUGUAUCACCCGCGCGACCCACGGGUACGCGCUCUCUUGGACCAGAGUGGCCCCUCUUUGCUCCAUUCCUGGCAUCGGGCAGAAAUCUGGAAGAGAUUAACAAAUAACAACUCUCGAUCUCGUAAGUCGUUGGUCUCUUGUUAUUGACGUCGUACGCCGCAUAGAGAUCUAUAGAAAUCUUUGCAGGUUUUAUAAAAUAUUUUCGAAAAAUGUGCCUUUUAAAACCAAACAUGUUCGCUUAACUUAGUUGUUGGUAGUCAAGUGUUCUUAGCAACCGACAGUUAUUUCCUGCGUGAGCCAGUCACAUUUGAAGAGAACAGAUCCAGACCGAAGCGUUGAACUGUAGUUUCUGUAUGCUCGUGUCGGCAGCUCGCGGGGCCUGUGAAGGGCGAUACUUACAACUGGUUCGUUACGAGUGUUGUCUAUACUUAGUGUUUCGGCCGUUGGUCGCCCUCCGCUUGCCGCCGCGGAUGCGAGGAAGGCCCAAGGAAGCUUGUCUGUGAUCUUUCAUUUACUUCGAACUUAUUUUGGAAUCGGCAGACGUUUACGUUAGAUAAUAACGUAAGAAAAAUCUGUAGGAAUCAGCAAUGUGAGUCUCAAAAGCCUUAUUGAGCUUACUGUGGGACUUAGUCAAUUUGUGUAAUAAUGUCCUAUAAUAUAAAAAAAAUAUAUAUAUAUCUUCUAAAAAAUGUUUUAUCCUUAAAGUACAUUUCUAUAUGUCGUUGGUAUUAAUUAUGGUGAAGAAAUUAAACUCUGAUUUUCUUAUAAUAUUGUUAAUCUUGCGAAAAUUGAAUUACGAAAUGUACUCGAAUACGAAAAUGAAGUGUUGGCCGCUCCGGUCCGGCCCCAGCCCGGUCUAGCGUGAGUCAUCCUUCAACGGGUUCUACUGUAGGUAGUUGUAAACUUUAUUGACAGUAGACUGAAUAUUGCACAACUGGAUUGCUCUAUACCUUGCACAUGGGCAUGUUUAUUGCAAAAGAUGAUUUCCUACAAUCGAUUGUAAGUCAACAUUUUCCAUAAUAAAACUGUAUUACUUUACGAAGUGCAUUUUAAAAUUAUCUUAUUUUACUAAUAUGUGGUUUCCUAAUAUUGUCACAAAAUUAUAAGGGCUAAAUAGCUUCGGACACUAAAACUGAAAAUGUAAAUUUUGAUUGCUCUAUAUCUUGUAAUGUAAAUUAUGAAAUAUAAAUAAGCACAAACACAACUGUUUAUUAUUGGGUUUUGCAAUAAAAAAAUAUGUGUACA